This 490-nucleotide unclassified non-coding RNA is filed under the name Hevea brasiliensis (rubber tree). Lineage: Eukaryota; Viridiplantae; Streptophyta; Magnoliopsida; Malpighiales; Euphorbiaceae. The record is from RNAcentral.
CACUGAGCAAAAUUUUUUGGCCUUGCUUUUCAUUAAUAAUUUAGACAUGAGUAUCAACAAGUUUUGCUAGAAUAGCUCAAAUUCCAGAUGCUCUCCUGUUGAACCACACUCCAAAAACUUUUUGCUCUUCUCCUCAAGUGCUACUUUUGUUACUCCAGGUACUUGAGGUGGAACGGCGCAGCGUAUCAAUGCCCAGUUCAGGCCAUCAAAGAAAGGGUGUCUCUUAAUCUCAGCAGCACCUGUUUCUGUUCCCAAUCGAUUCUCGGGCUCCUUUACUAACAGCCCUCUGAUGAGAUCCCUUGCUUGAAAACUAACAAUCUGGCUGUCGGGAAAUCUGAGGUUCUGCAGGACGACGUUGGCCAAAGUUUCUUCAUUUCCAGCACCUUUAAAGGGUGUCUUACCAUAUAGAAGCUCGUAAAGGAAAACGCCUAGUGUCCACCAGUCAACAGCACUCCCAUGGCCCUCACCUUUGAUGAUCUCAGGAGCCAAG